Molecule: long non-coding RNA, 915 nt
Organism: Tetranychus urticae (two-spotted spider mite)
Lineage: Eukaryota; Metazoa; Arthropoda; Arachnida; Trombidiformes; Tetranychidae
Source: RefSeq, a predicted model, not a curated record
UUCAGGAUAAUAGCAUGGGAGGAGAAUUGAGAAAGUGAAAAAAGGGAGAGAGAAAGAGAAAGGAAAAGAAAGAGUAUCAAAGAGCACUGAAAGCGAUAUGUGAAUGAAUAGAUCGUCUUACAAACAAUUUUUGAUCCAUGGAUUUUCGCUUGGUUUCUGGAAAUAAUCUUGAAGUGAAAAAAAAGAGGGAAACUGAGAAAAGAAUCGCCAAUUGAUAUUUUUAUUACAUUAUGACAAAAGACAAUGGUUAAAGUAAACAAGUCAAAGGCUCGUUGCUCUUUUUUUUGUACUCCUGGCUGGUCGUGGUUCCCUUGGACAGUGGAUAGAGUUUGUGAUCACCCGCAGAGUAGAACCUCCACGAUCACCUUUUUGACCUUGCUUGAAAGUUGAAUUGAUUUAAGCUGUUGAUAACAUUCAUGGUGGCCUAUUGAAUUUCACUUCAAUCUCUAUCUUCAUCUGUAUUAUAACCAUCAAAUCUUAUUAUAUUUACCUUAUACACAUUCACAUACAUCUUUUCAGUUUAUCAUUUACCUUAUUUACAUUGUGUGUAGUAACAGUGAUAAAAAGCUGAUCUGAUUAUGUUUAUAAAUGUGUAUUUGUGUGUGUGUCUCUCUCUCACUCUUUGUAUCAUUGUUAAAGGCAAAGUUAAAGUGUCAGAAUAUUUGUCAAUUGAUUGUAACAUGAAUAAUAUUUAACUGGCACACAAGAAAGUUGAAAAGGAAGAUAUUAACCUUAGAUAAAGGUGUGAAAAGAGAGAAAGGUUAAAAUAUUGUAACAUUCUUCUACAUUUGUUAACUAACAUUUCACGUUUAAUCAACCUUUUUCUUGUCGCGUUACUGUUUGUAAUCCAUACCAUUCUUUAUCCCCUUUGUAUGCUCAUUUCAUUAUUAGAAUAACAAUCCUUAUUUUCCUCCA